GGAGGCAGCAGUGGGGAAUAUUGCACAAUGGGCGCAAGCCUGAUGCAGCCAUGCCGCGUGUAUGAAGAAGGCCUUCGGGUUGUAAAGUACUUUCAGCGAGGAGGAAGGCAUUAAGGUUAAUAACCUUAGUGAUUGACGUUACUCGCAGAAGAAGCACCGGCUAACUCCGUGCCAGCAGCCGCGGUAAUACGGAGGGUGCAAGCGUUAAUCGGAAUUACUGGGCGUAAAGCGCACGCAGGCGGUCUGUCAAGUCGG
RNAcentral lists this ribosomal RNA (255 nucleotides) under Klebsiella aerogenes. RNAcentral's name for it is "partial 16S ribosomal RNA". It matches the Rfam family "Bacterial small subunit ribosomal RNA", at positions 344 to 591 of the family's 1533-position model. The record is from RNAcentral. RNAcentral also lists the same sequence under 1 other name. Lineage: Bacteria; Pseudomonadati; Pseudomonadota; Gammaproteobacteria; Enterobacterales; Enterobacteriaceae.